RNAcentral lists this ribosomal RNA (490 nucleotides) under uncultured bacterium. Its description in RNAcentral is "partial 16S ribosomal RNA". It matches the Rfam family "Bacterial small subunit ribosomal RNA", at positions 30 to 507 of the family's 1533-position model. The record is from RNAcentral.
AUUGAACGCUGGCGGCAGGCCUAACACAUGCAAGUCGAACGGUAACAGGAAGAAGCUUGCUUCUUUGCUGACGAGUGGCGGACGGGUGAGUAAUGUCUGGGAAACUGCCUGAUGGAGGGGGAUAACUACUGGAAACGGUAGCUAAUACCGCAUAACGUCGCAAGACCAAAGAGGGGGACCUUCGGGCCUCUUGCCAUCGGAUGUGCCCAGAUGGGAUUAGCUAGUAGGUGGGGUAACGGCUCACCUAGGCGACGAUCCCUAGCUGGUCUGAGAGGAUGACCAGCCACACUGGAACUGAGACACGGUCCAGACUCCUACGGGAGGCAGCAGUGGGGAAUAUUGCACAAUGGGCGCAAGCCUGAUGCAGCCAUGCCGCGUGUAUGAACAAGGCCUUCGGGUUGUAAAGUACUUUCAGCGGGGAGGAAGGGAGUAAAGUUAAUACCUUGACUCAUUGACGUUACCCGCAGAAGAAGCACCGGCUAACUCCGUG